CAAUAGCGUAUAUUAACGUUGUUGCAGUUAAAAAGCUCGUAGUUGGAUUUCUGGAGGGAGCGUCGGCCCGUAUUUACGAGUGCGUGACGUCUCUGUCCAUCCUUGCGGGAAGGCACGGCAUUGAUUUGUUGUGUCGGAUCGCAUCAUUUACUGUGAAAAAAUUAGAGUGUUCAAAGCAGGCUUUCGCUUGAAUACAUUAGCAUGGAAUAAUAAGAUAGGACUUUGGUGCUAUUUUGUUGGUUGAGCCUAAAGUAAUGAUUAAUAGGGAUAGUUGGGGGCACCUGCAUUGCGUUGUCAGAGGUGAGAUUCUUGGAUUUACGCAAGACAAACAGCUGCGAAAGCGUCUGCCAAGGAUGUUUUCAUUAA
This 366-nucleotide ribosomal RNA is filed under the name uncultured eukaryote. Its description in RNAcentral is "partial 18S ribosomal RNA". It matches the Rfam family "Eukaryotic small subunit ribosomal RNA", at positions 592 to 976 of the family's 1831-position model. The record is from RNAcentral.